GAACAGUGCUCUGCACAUAGUAAGUGCUUAACAAAUACCAACAUUAUUAUUAUUAUUAUUAUUAGAUGAGGAGUGGCUCGGGAUGGUAUGUCGACCUUGUUGUCUGGUGGGCACUAAGUGAGACGGAAGGGGAGGGGGACAAUUGAAAAGUUGUGAAUAGGGUUAGCACACCCAAAAGCGUAAUAACCCAUCUGUGGUCUGGCCAGCGAGUCUGUGACCUGACAUUCCCAUGGCCCUCCUGUUGGUUUGUCACUGCGCUAAGCAGAGACCCUGUAGGUAGUCCGCUCCCCCUGCCCCCAGCUUGCUGAGGGGUUCCAGCUGUGAAACUUGAGAGCUCGAUUCUCUGACCAGGCAGUCCUGGACCCCCAACGGAAGCAGCCAGCCUGGAGACCGGACCGGGGCAGCAGGAAUGAAGCCUCUCCUCUCCAGCGACUUCCUGAUCCGCCAGAGCUCUUUAGGCUGACCUCAGGGUUGAACUCAGGAGAUUCGGGGCUGUGACUCCCUUCAUUUGAGACAUGGUUUUCAGUGAACGGUGCAGCUCUCCGAAGUAGUCUGGUGGCACUUACUCCUGCUUUUCUGCAGACGGACCAACAAGCAGGGAGAAGGUGCAGAGCAGUGAUCGAGCAGAUGAAAGUCCAGACAACAAAUGACAAAUGAUCCUCGAGCUCUCAGUAGACAGGAACAGCAGCUUCUGGGCUCCAGCCGCCUCACAGACCAAUCUGUCAAUCAGUGCAUGAGCCUGCCAUUCAGCCUGCCCCAGAACCAGCGUAGAAUCAGAGGUCUGCAUCAAUCCACUCCACUUUUGUGUGCCAGGAUGGCCUUGAAUGUGUGGUUGCCCAGGCAAGACGAUGCAGUGACUUCAGAAAAGCCUCUAAGGAAACUACUGGCAAAGUUGGGGAGUCAGUCAGUCCUAUUUAUUCAACACUUACUGUGUGCAGAGAACUGUACUAAGUACUUGGGAGAAUACAGUAAGGCCCUGGUCUGAGCCAAGCUCCAGCCAGAAAAGAGAAUCCGAGGCCUUCGAUAGAAAAGUGAAAUCCCUUUCCUCCUGAGGGAAAGAGCAGGAAACUCCCCAAGUGAAGAGAAGUAUUAUCUUUGUAGUCAGCAAAAAGUUUUCUUUUGCUAACAUGCUAGAGAUCUCUUAUCUAGACAUGUCCUCUCUGAAAUGGGCUGUAAUCCCUAUUCAGCUAAAAUAUUCAGGUCCAAAUUCUUCAAAAGUUGAAGGGAAGGGAGGUGUUGAACCUGAAAGUUUGCUGUGGCUUUAAUCUCCAGAAGUAAAGAAUGGAGCUAUUGAACUUUAUCAAGGGUUCUAACAGGGAUCUGGGUAUAAUGUAACUUAGUCCUUCUCACUACUCAUUAACUGUUCUCCCUAGAGGGAUGGUCAAGAUAUUUAUUCUCCUGAUGUUAUUAACUGUAUUUCGCCGCCUAGGUGCCUCAAACCUCUCCCCGAAGAAGUGCUCCUUAAGAGACUCCUUCCAGGGAGAAGAAACUGCAUGAGGAGAUGAGCUCUGGCCAUGGAAAGCCGAUCCCGCCGUGCCCUCUGGGCGCUCAUGAGCACACCGUCAGCCCAUAACCAUCGUCCCUUGUCCCUGCCAUACAGGCAGUGGCAACCUGCCCUCCAGACAGCUGGGGAAGCUGAAGCCUUUGGGCCCAAGGUUUGGUCAAAGAAGGAAGUGUCUGGACUUUGAUUAAAUAAAUUAAUCUGUGCAAUGCAAAAUAGUUGGAUAAAAUAGAAAAUCUAAACGCUACUUGAACUCUGUCAAAGAGAAAUAGAAUACUGGCUCAGAAGGGACUGGCUGAGUCCCUGAGCCCCUGAAUUUAGCAAGGUGAGACAGCAGGAUGGUGUGGGGCUUUUGUGUCCCAGACCGGUUUGGAGCAAAGCCCUGAGCAGAUGGAGCGGUAGAAAUGUGCGUGGGAGAGACCUGGCCCACCCUCAUCAGGAGGGCUUUUUCCAGGAACAGGACCCUGGGCUGCUCUGCUCAGGAAGCCCACCUUUGAGGCGGGGUGGCUGUAGGCUGCUCAAACAGGAACGCCUGCCGCACUUGUUCUUGAGCAAACGGUGUCUUUCACGUACUGAGCCUGCUUCUAGCUGGAAUUUGCUGGAGGGCGGGGAUGGGGUUUGGAGGAGAAUCUCUUUGGGUAGGGAUUUGUAGAAUUUGGGUGGAAGGAAUCUGCCCCACUCUCCGCCCUCAAACAAUAGCAAGCGAUUGUUCAAAGUAAUCUCCAUAGCACUAGGGGAGAGAGAAAGUUUGGGUUAUUGGAGACCUAUUCUUUUGAAGUUGCCCAACGAUUGCUUUUGAAUAAUGGUGAAAACUUGUCCGGCCUUGAAAUCCUGAUGUUCACAUAGGAAAUGCCCUGGCUAUGUUUCCUGUUUUCCUAACCCUGCUUUUGAGCUUUGGAAAAUGGUUGAAAAAUGGGCUGUUUCCCCAGUAAAUGUGGCAUUUAGUUGAUCCCUGAGGGAACUAUUUUAGCUGGUCCCAAGAAGGAUCAUUGUGGGACAGCAGUGGUUGGGGGAAAUGAUGGGUUGAUGUGUUUGUACACGGGCAAGCAUACAAAAACAUGAAAUUUGUGUGUGUCUAGGUAAUUCCGCUCUGCAGAAUCCCCCAUGGCCGGCUCUCCAGUGUCCACUCCUUUGUGGAAGAAGCUGGUGGAUUUCAAAGGCUUCAGGUCAAGGGAAGUCCGACUACACUGAAGCAGACGAACCAGGAGAACAGGGAUCGCGUUUUCAGCUCAAGGUGAAGGGGCUGCUGUCAGCCACCACUUCCACAUGCUACCCAAAUCAGCCCCAACACACUUUGCAUGUCAAGGUUAUCGGUUGUGUUUUCUGAGUGCCGAUCCCUGCUGUAGUUGGAAACCCCCAUCCCUGGUCGGGGGUAACCAGCCAGGCACGUUACUUCUCAACAGCAUCAUGGGAUCUCCCACGUAAGUGACCCGCAAUCAGCUGACUGCUGAGAAGUCAGAUCUCAGCCCUUUGCUACACGAGGGUAAGGAAGGGGGAAAAGACCCCCGAUAGUUAAACGCUAAUGGAGCUUAACCACCGGGUAAGAUCACAAUGUACUCUUUGACUAGAAACCAAAUACCUGGUGCAGACAGGAUGGAAUCGAGCUGCUUUCUCCACCGGAGUAGUGAGCCGCUGGGGCAGUCUUCACCCGGGGCGACCACAGUUACAGAAAGACAAUGGUUGCUGGUCUUCUGUCUCAGCUCUGUGGCCGGAUUCUGCCCGGGCACAUCAGGGCCGCUGGGACUGCGGCCCCCCUCUGGUCAGUCCCCUCGCCGGAUUCCCAUUGGUCCAGGUUAACGGGGCCGUGGUGGACUUGAGGUCAAAAGAAAUCAACCAACGCUGGUGUCUUUGCCAUGAACACAUUGUAUUAGUUUUCCAGGCUCUACAUUAAGGGGGUGGGGAAGGAAGGCAGAGAGGUUGAGGGGGGAGGAGAGGCAAAGAGGAAGAGUGGUUUACAAGUGAAAGGUUCUCCCUGCUGGCAGAAGACUAGAAUUGGGAAAGGGUUUCUGCAGCAGGAGAAUGCUCGGUUUCGUGGCCUUGGUUGUAGUUGUUGAUCUUUGGCAGCGUAGAACUGAUUGUGAUCCUCUGAUCCAGCUCUGAAACGAUAAGCUUCUCAUUUCAUCACCCACCCGCCCAUCUCUCCCCGCAGGAAAAAACUGCAGCACUUCUCUACCACCAUGGGGUCCUUCUCCGAGGGCUCACUCGCCCGGACGUCGCUGCCCUUCUCGGUUUUACCAAGGAUGGCGAAGGAAACCUCAGUCGGUGACACGGCCCCCGGUGCCUACUGCGGUCCCUCCUCAGCAUCCCUGGGAAACAUGGUUUCAGUUCACCUGGCCCAGAACUACUUUUCCCGGAAGCUUUGCAACCCAGCUCUUCUGGAGUAAGACUCUUGCUUCUGAGGCAGCGUGACUAAGACCCGGGUACGGCAUUCAUCCUCUCAGCAAAUGGGCCUGGCUCUGUAAUAAUUCUUAGAGAAUUCUCACUUUGAGCGGGAGAGAAGUGGCAGCUGUUGGAGAGCUGUGGCUUUUGGGCUUCUACGAAGCGGGGGAUUAUUGUCAAAGCCCCCAGAUCGUCACCACCUUCAUCCAUGGCAGGAGGGAAAUGGAAGCCCAGCUAACUGUGGUGCCCUUAGAGGGACAGGACCAUCUUUUCACUAGCCCAUGAUACCAUUUACCUUCUAUGCAGACAAGUAGGUGCCUAUAUACCCUCUUCAUCCUUCCUGACAGCCCCCCCAUUCGGGUCUCAAAGUCUGUCUUGCUGGUAGAUUGGGAUGCCACCCUGCUCUCUCGCCUGGAAUACCCUUCUCCCGGCCCUGCACUGAGAGAGAUGACCAAAAGGCCCAAACUCCUGAAAGUUACUCAGAGCGACUGAUAAAGCCACUCUAAGGCUCUUCUGAGAGUAAGGGACUUCUAGGUUCUGAAUCCCUGGACAGUAAAAAGGACAUGUAUGUACAUCUUUCUGGGUCCAAAGCCAGAUCAUCUACAUUUAUUUAGCACUGGGAUGGGGAUUUUAAUAGCUUCCACAUUACUCAGAGGAUUCCGCAUAGCAAUCAAUUAUGCCACGGGUGAAGUCCAACACAUCUGUAGCACAUCGGAGAGCAUAAACUACAAGGAACCAUGAAGAGGGCAGAGUUAUAAGAACAAAACGUUCCCUUACUAUACCUCUAUUCAUCAGUACUUUGGUGAGUUGGAGACUCAGACUCAUCCAUAGUGGGUGAGCUUUCUGUUGCUUCUCUGAACAAAGGAGAGCACAGGAAGGAAGAGCAAAGAGGAAACGUUAAAGAGAAGAAGUGACCCAGACAUUGUUAAGAACUUAUUAACACAGUGGGAAGAACAGCUGAUGACUCAUUCUUCUGGACAAAAGGUUCCCACACACCUAACGCGGGCAGGAAAAACUGAAUCGCCAGACAGCUGUGAGAGCUAAAGACACUGUCUGUCUACACGCACUUGGGGAGAGGCAACGCACAGAAGAGCAGGGUUGGAUCUAUGUCCCCAGCUUUAUGGCCGCCUCCGGUCCAGGAGUUCCCAGCCAGGCCCAUUUCAAAGGGAGCAAAAGGUCCUGGUGAAAACGAGAGCAUCUGCCAUAAGGAUCUUAACUAGCUGUGUGUUGAGAAAAUGGGGCUUUCAGCCAGUGACCCUGUGGAGGGCAAGGAAGUGAGCAUCUCCAAGUUGAGGCUCCCGGUCUCCACCUAUCCAUGUGGGGAAAUCCCUGCCCUCCUUACCCUCACAGGGAAAGGCAGAAGGGAGCCUCUAAGCAGGAGAGGCUGUCCACUCAGUUUCCGGGCUGCAAACCCUUCUCCUUCCUUGAUUCCUGUUGUCCCCUGCUUCGGGGAAGAAGGUGGAUGGGCUCAGGGGCACCGCCUGCCUCGUGCUUGCCAGGGUGGGAGCAACGAGGUGGCUCCAGUUUCACUGGCUAAGGUGGGAGCCAGGUGGAAAGGCGAACCUCACCAACAGGAAGGGAGGUUGGGUGGGGCAGAGGUUUAUAAGGAGGGUUGAGAAGGCUCCUACCGCACUAUGGAUGGGGUUGCAUUCUCUACAUACCUCUGCCCUCUUCCUUAACGUUGACACAGGCUCCCCACCCUUGUUUGCCGAGUCGCCGAACCCUUCCGUGACCUGCUGGCUGUCACCCAUCCCUACUGGAAGCCCCCGGCGCCUUCCCCGGCUCUAUUCAUCACCCUCACUGAGAAGACAGAGAAAACCCCAGAUGGGACUCACUCACCCGGCCU
Ornithorhynchus anatinus (platypus) is the source of this 5726-nucleotide long non-coding RNA. RefSeq lists it as uncharacterized. The transcript is spliced from 10 exons. Lineage: Eukaryota; Metazoa; Chordata; Mammalia; Monotremata; Ornithorhynchidae. The record is from RefSeq and is a predicted model, not a curated record.